AGCCCGGUCGUCUAGCGGCCAAGCGUCUGGUCAGGUAACCCCGCGGACGCCGGUUCGAAUCCGGCCCGGGCUA
This 73-nucleotide transfer RNA is filed under the name Candidatus Terraquivivens tikiterensis. RNAcentral describes it as "Aigarchaeota archaeon NZ13_MG1 tRNA-Thr". It matches the Rfam family "tRNA". From Rfam's summary of the family: Transfer RNA (tRNA) molecules are approximately 80 nucleotides in length. Their secondary structure includes four short double-helical elements and three loops (D, anti-codon, and T loops). The record is from RNAcentral. Lineage: Archaea; Thermoproteati; Nitrososphaerota; Candidatus Wolframiiraptoraceae.